CCUAACGGCUGAACUGGCAACUUGGAGAAGUGGCAAGUCUUCCAGUAUGGGGAGCAAAACAGCUAUGGGUCAAGUCCGAUAUCUUUAGGAGAAGUCUUAUUGUGAGGGCGAGUUAUAUAACACCAUAGGACUGGCCGUCCCAUAUGAAAAGAUUAUAUUAGAAUUGAAUGAAGCUUUGUUUAUAUAUUGAUAAUGACAGUAUAUAUAUCGUGUCUUGACUAAUUGCGUGCCAGCAGUCGCGGUAAUACGUAAGAGACUAGUGUUAUUCAUCUUAAUUAGGUUUAAAGGGUACCCAGACGGUCAAUAUAGCUUAUAAAAUGUUAGUACUUGACUAGAGUUUUAUGUAAGAGGGCAGUACUUGAGGAGGAGAGAUGAAAUUUCGUGAUACCAAAGGGACUCUGUAAAGGCGAAGGCAGCCCUCUAUGUAAAAACUGACGUUGAAGGACGAAGGCACAGAGAACAAACAGGAUUAGAUACCCAAGUAGUCUUUGCAGUAAAUGAUGAAUGCCAUAGGUUAGAUUGGUCAAUUAUAGUCUAGGGUUAGUCUAGCAAACUAAUACCCUAUGCUAUAAUCCUAAUAUCUGGUCUAUAAAUGAAAGUGUAAGCAUUUCACCUCAAGAGUAAUGUGGCAACGCAGGAACUGAAAUCACUAGACCGUUUCUGACACCAGUAGUGAAG
This 678-nucleotide ribosomal RNA is filed under the name Fusarium nirenbergiae. Its description in RNAcentral is "SSU rRNA". It matches the Rfam family "Bacterial small subunit ribosomal RNA", at positions 292 to 937 of the family's 1533-position model. Lineage: Eukaryota; Fungi; Ascomycota; Sordariomycetes; Hypocreales; Nectriaceae. The record is from RNAcentral.